AGAGAAGUCAAUCUCUCGAGACCAUGGCUACGUUCAUUAAUGGUGUUCAACAAAGUUUAAGCGUCCUUAUGUUAAGCCAACUCAUUUGCUCAGCACCAGGUCAAUAAAUGUGAUGACCCGGUCAGUGUAACAGCUUCAAUAGAUGUACCUGAUCUGCACAUCUCUUGGUCCCAUACUUACACCAGUGACGACAUAGUUGAAGUCCCAGGAUUCAGUUUGUCGGUAUCCGGUUUUCCAUUGUCUGCCGGUGUUUACGUUCAAGUCUCUCUCACUCCAGACGACGAUAGACUGCGUUUAACGGUAAAGCUGUUGGCUGGAGGAAAGAUCAUCGGUAAAGGUGUUUAUCCUGUAAAAGCGACAUUGAUUGAGGGGAGUCUACCAAUCAAGAGAGACGGAUGUGGUAUCUUUGGUUGGUGGCACAAUCUGAGUGACGCCACCAAGGCAUCAGUGAUCAGUGGCUGGACAAUAAUCAUCAUCUUGAUCAUCUCGAGCUGUUGUUGUUGCUGUUGCUGUAACUGCUGCAACUGUCGUUCAUCCAAUCAGAAUACCGUUAUUGUGCAACCUACCCCUGCUGUGGGACCUGUUAUCAUGGCAACAACUUCGACAACCACCAACGCUAAUAUUCCGAUGCAACCAAUGGUUCGCGGAUUUUGAAUCGAUUAUUAGAUAUGCGUUUAAGCGUUUUUUUCGUUUUUUUAGUAUAGCAAUACCCGCAUGGCUGGCACAGCGCGUUGCUUGAAUAAAUAAGUAAUUUUGCUAUUUUGUAGGUCAAAAAUAACGCAAAUAAGUUCCUGAAUGUCUCGACGCAAUUUGGUUUUCUGCUGUCCGAGUUGUGGUAGUCUAGUUUCCAGUCUUCACUUGUAAAUGAUUUUUAGGCGCAACCACUGCGCUACAGAAAUGUAUAAUCUUUCAAAACCUGAAAAGUGCUUUUAACCGAACAAAAUAAAUUUGUUUCUGUUUUAACGAAGAUUCAGAGAAGAUUAUGUUGAUCACAAUUCAUGACAGACAUUAUCGAGAUGUAUGUCAAAGGAGCAACUGCCAAAGUAACCUCGUUCCAAGGUUUCUCUCUCGGAGGAAGAGAGAGAAUCCUGGUAAUGCGGUAGUUGCCAUAGCAGAACGUAAGGUUAACGACGUAAUUCCGAGAAAUUGAAACUUCGCUUCCAGGAACACCGACCAAACAAGCCAAACUGAAGCUCUAUGUCUGCUGAAUUCUCUCUGUACAAAAUGGAUGAGCAUGGAAACGUUCUUGUCAACAUUUUUCUCGUUGUUCUUUUCAGCAAAAGAGUUCCUCAACUGCAGGUAAAUAUCUCUUGUAUUGCAUCUCAAGUGCGCUGGACUGUUGUGCGGGAAGUCGAGGGUUCGAGCCCCGGC
This 1371-nucleotide unclassified non-coding RNA is filed under the name Stylophora pistillata. RNAcentral's name for it is "uncharacterized LOC111328481, transcript variant X2". Lineage: Eukaryota; Metazoa; Cnidaria; Anthozoa; Scleractinia; Pocilloporidae. The record is from RNAcentral.